GCGGAUUGUAGCACAGGAUGAAAGCAAAACAGAAUGAAGCCAUGAACUGCAUCCUGAAGAUUCCGGCUCCGUCUGAAGCUCCCCUGACAGAGCGCACUGAGGGGAGACGAGAAUCGAGCAGAAUUGCGUAGGAAGGCAAUUGCCAGGCUUCAACCGACCUAAAGCAGGAAACACAAAUGUGAUUUCAAGUCAGACAGAAAGAAACAACAGGAUAAAUGUAACAGUACAGUAUUUCAGUAAGUUAAUUCAUAAAAAUAACUUUUUGACCCUAAUUGGAAAGACACCAACAUGACAGAAGAAAUAUUAAAAUCAUAAGUUUGAUGAGAUGGUCAUGAUGCAGGCAGUGGAGGGAAGCCAUGAUUUGUAACCCACCUCAGCAUAGUGACAAGACAACCAGAAGUCAUACGCUCAUCGCCAGACUUUAUCCAUGAAUGAUGUCAAGAAAAGUCUUGAAGCUUUAUAAAGGCUAAUUGCAUGUUAAUAGUUAUUUGCAUUCACAGCUUGACUUGUCACAUUUUAUUAAAAACCAUGAUA
Molecule: long non-coding RNA, 534 nt
Organism: Poecilia reticulata (guppy)
Lineage: Eukaryota; Metazoa; Chordata; Actinopteri; Cyprinodontiformes; Poeciliidae
Source: RefSeq, a predicted model, not a curated record